This 253-nucleotide ribosomal RNA is filed under the name uncultured bacterium. Its description in RNAcentral is "partial 16S ribosomal RNA". It matches the Rfam family "Bacterial small subunit ribosomal RNA", at positions 524 to 776 of the family's 1533-position model. The record is from RNAcentral.
GACAGAGGUGCCAAGCGUUAGGCGGAAUCACUGGGCUUAAAGCGUGUGUAGGCGGAUGUCUAAGUACCUUGUGAAAUCCCACGGCUCAACCGUGGAACUGCUUGGUAUACUGGAUGUCUUGAGCCAGCUAGGGGCGACCGGAACAAAUGGUGGAGCGGUGAAAUGCGUAGAUAUCAUUUGGAACGCCAAUGGUGAAAACAGGUCGCUGGGGCUGUGCUGACGCUGAGACACGAAAGCCAGGGGAGCGAACGGG